GCUGGCGGCGUGCUUAACACAUGCAAGUCGGACGAGGACUGGAAGGUGCUUGCACUGACCGAGCCGAGUGGCGGACGGGUGAGUAACACGUGACCAACCUACCUUCAGGUGGGGGACAACCCGGGGAAACCUGGGCUAAUACCGCAUGACGUCCUUGUGUCGCAUGGCACUUGGAUCAAAGGAGGCCUCUGCUUGCAAGCUUCCGCCUGAAGAGGGGGUCGCGGCGUAUCAGUUAGUUGGUGAGGUAACGGCUCACCAAGACUACGACGCGUAGCGGGUCUGAGAGGACGACCCGUCACAUUGGGACUGAGAUACGGCCCAGACUCCUACGGGAGGCAGCAGUGGGGAAUAUUGCGCAAUGGCCGAAAGGCUGACGCAGCGACGCCGCGUGUGGGAGGAAGCCCUUCGGGGUGUAAACCACUGUCAGGGGGGAAGAAACCUGGUCAUGGGAAUAUCGUGAUCAGCUGACGGUACCCCCAGAGGAAGCGCCGGCUAACUCCGUGCCAGCAGCCGCGGUAAGACGGA
This 525-nucleotide ribosomal RNA is filed under the name uncultured bacterium. RNAcentral describes it as "bacterial SSU rRNA". It matches the Rfam family "Bacterial small subunit ribosomal RNA", at positions 35 to 529 of the family's 1533-position model. The record is from RNAcentral.